Molecule: ribosomal RNA, 265 nt
Filed under: uncultured bacterium
Lineage: Bacteria
Description: partial 16S ribosomal RNA
Rfam family: Bacterial small subunit ribosomal RNA
Source: RNAcentral
ACAAUGGCAGGUACANAGGGGUGCUACCGGGUGACCGGAUGCCGAUCUCGAAAACCUGUCCCAGUUCGGACUGGAGUCUGCAACCCGACUCCACGAAGUUGGAUUCGCUAGUAAUCGCGCAUCAGCCAUGGCGCGGUGAAUACGUUCCCGGGCCUUGUACACACCGCCCGUCAAGCCAUGGGAGCCGGGGGCGCCUGAAGUCCGGGACCGCGAGGACCGGCCUAGGGCGAAACUGGUGACUGGGGCUAAGUCGUAACAAGGUACC